This 497-nucleotide ribosomal RNA is filed under the name uncultured bacterium. RNAcentral's name for it is "partial 16S ribosomal RNA". It matches the Rfam family "Bacterial small subunit ribosomal RNA", at positions 28 to 507 of the family's 1533-position model. The record is from RNAcentral.
GAUGAACGCUGGCGGCGUGCCUAAUACAUGCAAGUCGAGCGAACAGAUGAGGAGCUUGCUCCUCUGACGUUAGCGGCGGACGGGUGAGUAACACGUGGAUAACCUACCUAUAAGACUGGGAUAACUUCGGGAAACCGGAGCUAAUACCGGAUAAUAUAUUGAACCGCAUGGUUGAAUAGUGAAAGACGGUUUUGCUGUCACUUAUAGAUGGAUCCGCGCCGCAUUAGCUAGUUGGUAAGGUAACGGCUUACCAAGGCGACGAUGCGUAGCCGACCUGAGAGGGUGAUCAGCCACACUGGAACUGAGACACGGUCCAGACUCCUACGGGAGGCAGCAGUAGGGAAUCUUCCGCAAUGGGCGAAAGCCUGACGGAGCAACGCCGCGUGAGUGAUGAAGGUCUUCGGAUCGUAAAACUCUGUUAUUAGGGAAGAACAAAUGUGUAAGUAACUAUGCACGUCUUGACGGUACCUAAUCAGAAAGCCACGGCUAACUACGUG